RNAcentral lists this ribosomal RNA (506 nucleotides) under uncultured bacterium. RNAcentral's name for it is "bacterial SSU rRNA". It matches the Rfam family "Bacterial small subunit ribosomal RNA", at positions 791 to 1297 of the family's 1533-position model. The record is from RNAcentral.
UAGUCCACACCGUAAACGAUGAAUGCCAGUCGUCGGGUAGUAUACUAUUCGGUGACACACCUAACGGAUUAAGCAUUCCGCCUGGGGAGUACGGUCGCAAGAUUAAAACUCAAAGGAAUUGACGGGGGCCCGCACAAGCGGUGGGGCAUGUGGUUUAAUUCGAAGCAACGCGCAAAACCUUACCAACCCUUGACAUCCUGUGCCACACGGAGAGAUCCGUCGUUCCCUUCGGGGACGCAGUGACAGGUGCUGCAUGGCUGUCGUCAGCUCGUGCCGUGGGAUGUUGGGUUAAGUCCCGUAACGAGCGCAACCCCUAUCAUUAGUUGCCAUCAGGUUAAGCUGGGAACUCUAAUGAGACUGCCGUCGCAAGACGUGAGGAAGGCGGGGAUGAUGUCAAGUCAGCAUGGCCUUUAUGCCUAGGGCUACACACGUGCUACAAUGGAUGGUACAAUGGGCAGCAACACAGCGAUGUGAAGCAAAUCUCAAAAAACCAUUCUCAGUUCGGA